Molecule: ribosomal RNA, 253 nt
Filed under: uncultured bacterium
Lineage: Bacteria
Description: partial 16S ribosomal RNA
Rfam family: Bacterial small subunit ribosomal RNA
Source: RNAcentral
UACAGAGGUCCCAAGCGUUGUUCGGAUUCACUGGGCGUAAAGGGUGCGUAGGUGGCGCCGUAAGUCGGGUGUGAAAUUUCGGAGCUUAACUCCGAAACUGCAUUCGAUACUGCGGUGCUUGAGGACUGGAGAGGAGACUGGAAUUCAUGGUGUAGCAGUGAAAUGCGUAGAGAUCAUGAGGAAGACCAGUGGCGAAGGCGGGUCUCUGGACAGUUCCUGACACUGAGGCACGAAGGCCAGGGGAGCAAACGGG